Molecule: non-coding RNA, 73 nt
Organism: Podarcis lilfordi (Lilford's wall lizard)
Lineage: Eukaryota; Metazoa; Chordata; Lepidosauria; Squamata; Lacertidae
Source: the annotation of a GenBank genome assembly
CUGUGGAUAGCUCAGUUGGUAGACCACGAGGCUCUUAAUCUCGGGGCCGGGAGUUCGAGCCCCACACUGCACG